Athalia rosae (coleseed sawfly) is the source of this 1317-nucleotide long non-coding RNA. RefSeq lists it as uncharacterized. The transcript has 2 exons. The record is from RefSeq and is a predicted model, not a curated record. Lineage: Eukaryota; Metazoa; Arthropoda; Insecta; Hymenoptera; Athaliidae.
UUCAUCUUACAAUUAAUCGAAUAUGGUUCCAGAUCGGCGACCGAACUUGCUCGUUCUGUAGAAAGUUCAUCUCAGACGAGACGCUUAAAUAGUCCGAUAUCAUAUGACGUUACUCAAGACUGUACUUGACAAAAAGCAUUGAUGAAGAUUCAGCUGAUUCAAAUAUUAAGAAUAAUAUGAUAUUUCUACGUGUUAUCUCGAAUGUCAUUAGAAAUCAAUUAACAUUUUCCGUUCACUCGGAAAACACCCUAAUUAUAACAUACUACGUUUGUAUGAUAACUUUCAAUAGAUCCAGGUUCAUCAUUUACUAUCAUCGUUAUUAUUAUCAAUUAUAUUUCACAGCCUGCCUUGUACGGUCAAGGAUAUGAAGUCAAUAGCCAAUCAGAUUAUCGAAAUGGUUAAAUGGUAGGAAAAAUUGUAACAAUUAAACGAACUCCAAUCCAAGUUUUCAGUUUGAUUGGAACUAGACGAGGUAGCGUUUUUCUAGCGUAGAGUCAGUCUAUUUUUGAUAAUCCAGUACAGAGAUUCACAUUAUCCUGCGCGGCCGUCAGCAUUCCGUGUUUGGUGCGAUACAUUAUGCACCAAAAAAGUUUCUUCCAGUUUUUUCUCACAUCACAUUUUAUUCAAUAGCUUCGGAAUAAUCUCGAUGCUGUUGAACAAAUGGUCUCAAAAGUAUCCGACUCUGUUCGGCUCUCUACUUUUAUUUUGCUAAUUGAAUCGAUAUUUACACGAUCGAUUUGUCAUAGACAAGGACUCUUCUAGUGAAAUAAACGUUUCCCCGGGUAUCGUGGUUACGCACCUGUGUGUAUACAAGUUCGUUGUAAUUUUGUUAAUACUGUCAUCGUGGCCGUAAUGAUGUCCACGGACGCGAUGCGGCGCGGACAGUUACUCUGCCAAUAUUUGAUUACCGAGUAAUCUUUCUACUGGAAUAUCGGCUACACGUCACUUUUGACGGCGCUCAUCGAUGUUCACACCAUCGUCGCUGGUUAGUACAAUUAGGACAAGCUGUGUCACAAAGAAUCAACUUCCCACGUUGAAGGCUGAACGUCGAAAUCACUCUUCGAGCAAUUAUACAUCGUACCUCAGCUGUCCGACGACCGAUUUUAUUGGAAUUCCGCUUGAAGGAAAGCUUGACACCGAUUUAUGUGACGAAAGUGAUAAUGCCACAUUUGCUGUAAUGUUAUAAAUAUGGGAAAUAUUUGAUGAAACGGGUACUCAGUAGUACUUUCGUUCUUGAAAAUGUAAUUGGCGUGAUCCUCGAUCGAGUCUCUUGAUAAAAAAUAAAUGAAAAUAUACACCUUCUCCCUAUUAGGGUAA